GUAAUAGUAUACUAGGAAGAUUAAGGGAAAAAGUGUUGGUGUAUCCAGCUGACUCCCUUGACCGUGUUGUGAGUCGCACUAUAAGUGGCCUUCACGCAGCCUUUGGUCCUGAACUUGCACUUUUUGGAAUCUUUCAUCUUGAUUUUUCAAAGACAGGAAAGUGCCGGGUUUACAUGAUGUCGCGAGGACUGCAGGGCCCUAGAAGCCUCGGUCUUGCUUUACCUAAAGGUUCGCCGCUGACGUCCAGGAUCAACUCUUUUGUGUUGAAACUCACGGAUUCAGGCAUAUUGAGAAAAAUAAUCCUGGAAGCUAUUUACAACUCGACAGAAUGCAUGAAACCACUGGCCUCGGUAGACAACCAGAGUCGGCGGUCCCUUCACCUAAAGGACUUCCACGGCGUAUUAGCUUUAUAUGCAGCAGGUGA
This is a long non-coding RNA of Scylla paramamosain (green mud crab), 424 nucleotides long. RefSeq lists it as uncharacterized. Lineage: Eukaryota; Metazoa; Arthropoda; Malacostraca; Decapoda; Portunidae. The transcript is spliced from 3 exons. The record is from RefSeq and is a predicted model, not a curated record.